RNAcentral lists this ribosomal RNA (478 nucleotides) under uncultured bacterium. RNAcentral describes it as "partial 16S ribosomal RNA". It matches the Rfam family "Bacterial small subunit ribosomal RNA", at positions 28 to 523 of the family's 1533-position model. The record is from RNAcentral.
GACGAACGCUGGCGGCAUGCCUAACACAUGCAAGUCGAGCGAGCAGAUCCCUUCGGGGUGAAGCUAGCGGCGGACGGGUGAGUAACACGUGGGCAACCUGCCUCAUAGAGGGGAAUAGCCUUCCGAAAGGAAGAUUAAUACCGCAUAAGAUUGUAGCUUCGCAUGAAGCAGCAAUUAAAGGAGCAAUCCGCUAUGAGAUGGGCCCGCGGCGCAUUAGCUAGUUGGUGAGGUAACGGCUCACCAAGGCGACGAUGCGUAGCCGACCUGAGAGGGUGAUCGGCCACAUUGGGACUGAGACACGGCCCAGACUCCUACGGGAGGCAGCAGUGGGGAAUAUCGCACAAUGGGGGAAACCCUGAUGCAGCAAUGCCGCGUGAGUGAUGACGGCCUUCGGGUUGUAAAGCUCUGUCUUCGGGGACGAUAAUGACGGUACCCGAGGAGGAAGCCACGGCUAACUACGUGCCAGCAGCCGCCGUAA